This is a long non-coding RNA of Oreochromis aureus, 594 nucleotides long. Lineage: Eukaryota; Metazoa; Chordata; Actinopteri; Cichliformes; Cichlidae. The record is from Ensembl.
CGGCAGGAGAAGCUCUCUCACUCUCUUCUGUCUCUGAUUAUUUCUGCAACUCAUCCCUCACUGCGCUGCGACUGGCUGACCUACACGAGGACAAGGCGGGGGGUGAAGAAGCAGCAGCAACACCUGCCUAACCCUUCACUGCUGCCGCCAUCCCUCCGUCCGUCCCCGCUUCCUGCCCAGUCUGGGACCUAGCCUCCACCGAUCUCUCCGCCACCCCCGCUGCCAUCAUGUGCGACUGUUUCCACCUGGCCUUUCCCAACUGGCACGCUGCCUCCUCUGGGACGAGACCUGGACGAAGGCUGCAAGGCCCAGAGCCUGCCACAGAGGACUCAAUAUGUGAUGAGCCAUCUGAGUUUGCAGAGAGUGAGAGACCACGCCCACAAGGGUCAUCUCCAGUUGAGGAGUUUCCUGAGACUGAAAAAUACAGUGACAGUGAUAAAGAGUGUGAAGCAGAGCAUCACCCACACCACAAAGGUGGGACUGGAAAGAAAACUAAAAAGUCUGGGCUCGGGUCCAUGUUUGAAAAGCGCUCUACUCCAAAGAUGAGUAAACUCAAGGUGAGAUAUUUCCACCUUUUCCUCUCUGUACUGCAUU